Molecule: non-coding RNA, 103 nt
Organism: Octopus bimaculoides (California two-spot octopus)
Lineage: Eukaryota; Metazoa; Mollusca; Cephalopoda; Octopoda; Octopodidae
Source: Rfam
AUAUUGCUUCAAAAAUACAUAUAGUAAGAUUGGAAUGGUACAGAGAUUAGCAAGGCCCCUGUGCAAGGAUGACAUGCAAAUUCGUGAAGCAUUUCAUUUUUUU